AGCUGCUAGAAGGAAAAAGUUCCUCGCAAAACUUGAGUCUUACCGCCGGAAGGAGUAUUGUAUUGAUGGACAUCCGGUGAAGAAGAGCUUCUUUGCUGAGAUAUAUACUCCACAGAAUUGGGUAGACACUCCGCACAUGUAAGCUAUGCUAACUCUAGUUUGGUCAAAGCUCGGAGAAUCAUUCAUGGACAUGAGGGUCGCCGUCUUGGAUACAUACUUCUGUAGUAUGUUAUGCAAUGAGUACAACGGAUUCAAAAAACGUGACAAGCGAGCUCCUUACAGGUGGAAUAGUGUGUGCAAGAAUUAUGCUAGGGGGAUUGUUCCAAGCCGGUCUCAUCACUUGAUGUGGUUUGAUAAGGUGGACAGAGUAUACCUACCUAUGAACUGGGGGAAGAGACAUUGGUUACUCUCGUCAUUCAUCUUUACCAGGUAAAAUUGAGAUUUUGGAUCCUCUAAUUGUGAACAACGACCAGAAAAGGAUGACCAGGUUCAUGAAGCCAGUAGAGGACAUGCUCCCAGUCUUUUUAAAAGACAUAUUUGGGGAUUGUGGACAGUUUGAUCUGCCGGAGUCUUUCACUUAUGAAAAGGUGGUGAAUGUGGCCCAAAAUGACCGUACUGGUGAUUGUGGUCCAUUUUCGGUCAAGUUCAUUGAACUCCAUGCACAGGUCUGCAAAUGGAUGAUAUAACAAAGGAGAUGGUAAACAACUUCAGGAUGAAGUACGCCAUUGAUGUCUACGACAGAUUUGUUUGCUGAAACUUUGUCUCUCUCAUCAUCCCAAACUUUGUUGACUUUCGUGUUGCGUUAAAAACAUAUUUUAUGUCAACUUGACAUCCUUUGUCCCUAUGGUUGUGGUUUUUCCAUGAAUACUUAGGAUAUAUUGUCCACGACUUGUUAUACAUCUUCUGUUAUGGAUGG
Capsella rubella is the source of this 916-nucleotide long non-coding RNA. RefSeq lists it as uncharacterized. The record is from RefSeq and is a predicted model, not a curated record. Lineage: Eukaryota; Viridiplantae; Streptophyta; Magnoliopsida; Brassicales; Brassicaceae. The transcript is spliced from 3 exons.